This 557-nucleotide ribosomal RNA is filed under the name uncultured bacterium. Its description in RNAcentral is "bacterial SSU rRNA". It matches the Rfam family "Bacterial small subunit ribosomal RNA", at positions 364 to 917 of the family's 1533-position model. The record is from RNAcentral.
UUGGAUGGGCGGCAGCCUGAUCAGCAUGCCGCGUGUGUGAAGAAGGCCUUCGGGUUGUAAAGCACUUUUGUCCGGAAAGAAAUCGCACUUACUAAUAUUAGGUGUGGAUGACGGUACCGGAAGAAUAAGGACCGGCUAACUACGUGCCAGCAGCCGCGGUAAUACGUAGGGUCCAAGCGUUAAUCGGAAUUACUGGGCGUAAAGCGUGCGCAGGCGGUUGUGCAAGACCGAUGUGAAAUCCCCGGGCUUAACCUGGGAAUUGCAUUGGUGACUGCACGGCUAGAGUGUGUCAAAGGGGGGUAGAAUUCCACGUGUAGCAGUGAAAUGCGUAAAGAUGUGGAGGAAUACCGAUGGCGAAGGCAGCCCCCUGGGAUAACACUGACGCUCAUGCACGAAAGCGUGGGGAGCAAACAGGAUUAGAUACCCUGGUAGUCCACGCCCUAAACGAUGUCAACUAGUUGUUGGGGAUUCAUUUCCUUAUUAACGUAGCUAACGCGUGAAGUUGACCGCCUGGGGAGUACGGUCGCAAGAUUAAAACUCAAAUGAAAUUUGACGGA